This 176-nucleotide unclassified non-coding RNA is filed under the name uncultured Ascomycota. RNAcentral's name for it is "sequence contains ITS1". The record is from RNAcentral. Lineage: Eukaryota; Fungi; Ascomycota.
CCGAGUACCGGGUUGGUAUUUAUGCCUCCCGUUCUCCCACCCUUUGUUUACCUGUUCUUGUUGCCUCGGCGGGCCUGCGGGCCCCGCCUGCUGCCGGCUUCGGCUGGCUAGCGCCCGCCAGGGGACCAACCAAACUCUAUUUUAACGUGUCGUCUGAGUACAACAUCAAUAAGUUA